UACGGAGGGUGCAAGCGUUAAUCGGAAUUACUGGGCGUAAAGCGCGCGUAGGCGGUUAGAUCAGUCGGGUGUGAAAGCCCCGGGCUCAACCUGGGAACUGCAUUCGAUACUGUCUGACUGGAGUAUGGGAGAGGGCAGUGGAAUUCCAUGUGUAGCGGUGAAAUGCGUAGAUAUGUGGAGGAACACCAGUGGCGAAGGCGACUGCCUGGCCCAAUACUGACGCUGAGGUGCGAAAGCGUGGGGAGCGAAC
RNAcentral lists this ribosomal RNA (250 nucleotides) under uncultured bacterium. RNAcentral describes it as "partial 16S ribosomal RNA". It matches the Rfam family "Bacterial small subunit ribosomal RNA", at positions 524 to 773 of the family's 1533-position model. The record is from RNAcentral.